Molecule: long non-coding RNA, 710 nt
Organism: Odontomachus brunneus
Lineage: Eukaryota; Metazoa; Arthropoda; Insecta; Hymenoptera; Formicidae
Exons: 4
Source: RefSeq, a predicted model, not a curated record
UCAUGAAAGGUGGUCAAUUUUAAAUUUUGCAGCGUCUUCUAUCAGAAACUGACAAAUUCCAAGUGACAUUGAAUAAUUUUCGCGGCGUGCGAGGUCCUGCCUCGUUGGAGCAAGCAAUCAGCCACGAUCGACGACUUGAUCCUCGAUUGUGAUUGUCAAAAUUUUCGAUAAGUCUGUCAACGAUACUGGUCGAUGUAUACCACGUCGUACGGUGCACGCCUUUGACGCAUCAUGUUGAGUGAAUGUUGCAGGAAUUCCUAUGUCCCUCGCCAAACGUGCUGUAUGAAACUGACAUGUCCAGCCCCGUGUCCUGUAAUUUGCUGUACUCCGCCUGUGGGUUUUGCUUGCGUGUCUCGCGUGCCCACCAUCCAAUGUAGGCCAGUUCCUCAGCCUCGAUGUCUUCCGAAAGCCGCUAAGGCGACGGUUUAUCUACCGCCUUGUUCGCGCUGUCGCACGCCUUAUCCACCGAAAGUCGAAGUCACGCGUUGUCCAUCUCCUCCACUUCCUCCAUGCUGUUCUCCCCCUUCUCCCCCGCCGUGUCCUACCUGCUUUUACACCGCGAAGUGCUCUCCCUGCGUGCCCUGUCCAUUGCCUCGCUCGUCCUGCAAGUCACUGUGAGUACUCUAAGGGCAGUCCGCCCUGCUAAGAGACGACAUUCUAAUUGGCGAGUGACUGCUUGGCAAUUACACAACGUGCGGCUGCUUUUAGAU